This is a non-coding RNA of Anas platyrhynchos (mallard), 965 nucleotides long. The record is from RefSeq and is a predicted model, not a curated record. Lineage: Eukaryota; Metazoa; Chordata; Aves; Anseriformes; Anatidae.
UCCUAAACAUCAAAAUAUUACACUAUAUUUAUAUACACAUUUGAAAGUAGCAUAUGUGUUAUUUAUUCAUUAGGGAAUAACGUAUGAGCAACAUCACCUGGUGACAACUGUCAAAAAAUAAAAAUAAAAAAAUCCAACAUGCAGUCUUCUCCUGUCACAGUAGUUUUGUCUGGCAGCAUCUGUCUCUUUCCAUUCACAUGGGCAUUUUCAGGAAGGAAUGGGAGAUGUGCUAAGCAACUGAGGCAUUUCAAGUAUUCUUACCCAAACUUCUCUGUCUAGCCAUGGUUUUCCCAAGAGACACUUGGGAAUGCUUAUUCAUUGACGCAAUUAAUAUCAUUCUCCAUCUCUUCCCAGAAGCAGACUAAUUUCCAGAUCAUUCCUUAAAAUGCUCUACCUUAAUAUGUAAUCAUUAAAACAGCUAUCACAAAUGCUUAUGAUGUUUUAAUUGGGCCAUUUCAUAUUUGAUGUUUCAUGACUAAGUUGUAGUUUAAAUUUAUCCCUGAAAGAAUUAAGACAAAAGCUGCACAGAGUGCAAACACAGAAAUAGGGCAGCAUUAAGUGAAGACUGGAAUCCUAGAGAGAACAUAAGCUAACUGCAAGAGAACUAAUUCAGAAAGCAUCUCACUUUUUAUGGAAGGACAUCAUGACUGGCAUAUGAAGAGAAAGCAGACAAAGGUGAAUGGUACCUAGAUCAAGACAUCCAGGACAAGAAAAAACACACCAAUUUGUUCCCAGAGAGUUGCUUGUUAUUCUUUGAAGGAGCAAUCAUGGAAUGUACUGCUGGAAAUGUCCAAGUGUACCUGAGGCAAAGCUCCCAGUGUUACAAGAGUGCAAAAAGUAGAAAAGCUACUGGAUGGCCUGGGGAACUUCAACAGCUGAGGCAGCUCACCUAAUGGUUAAUUUUUCAUUAGCCAUAAAAUACAAGUUUUAUCAUAUACCUGUUAAAUAAAGUGUAAAGACCAUAA